CAGAUAUCAGGAGGAACACCAAUGGCGAAGGCACAUCUCUGGGCCGUAACUGACGCUGAGGAGCGAAAGCGUGGGGAGCAAACAGGAUUAGAUACCCUGGUAGUCCACGCCGUAAACGGUGGGUGCUAGCUGUGGGCCACAUUCCACGUGGUCCGUGACGAAGUUAACACAUUAAGCACCCCACCUGGGGAGUACGGCCGCAAGGCUAAAACUCAGAGGAAUUGACGGGGGCCCGCACAAGCGGCGGAGCAUGCGGAUUAAUUCGAUGCAACGCGAAGAACCUUACCAAGGCUUGACAUAUAGAGGAAAAGUGCAGAAAUGUACUCCCCGCAAGGUCUCUAUACAGGUGGUGCAUGGUUGUCGUCAGCUCGUGUCGUGAGAUGUUGGGUUAAGUCCCGCAACGAGCGCAACCCUCGUCCUAUGUUGCCAGCACGUAAUGGUGGGAACUCAUGGGAUACUGCCGGGGUCAACUCGGAGGAAGGUGGGGAUGACGUCAAAUCAUCAUGCCCCUUAUGUCUUGGGCUUCACGCAUGCUACAAUGGCCGGUACAGAGGGCUGCAAUACCGUAAGGUGGAGCGAAUCCCAAAAAGCCGGUCUCAGUUCGGAUUGAGGUCUGCAACUCGACCUCAUGAAGUCGGAGUCGCUAGUAAUCGUGGAUCAGAAACGCUA
Molecule: ribosomal RNA, 669 nt
Filed under: uncultured Gram-positive bacterium TK01
Lineage: Bacteria
Description: bacterial SSU rRNA
Rfam family: Bacterial small subunit ribosomal RNA
Source: RNAcentral